RNAcentral lists this long non-coding RNA (603 nucleotides) under Mus musculus (house mouse). RNAcentral describes it as "predicted gene, 48969". The record is from RNAcentral. Lineage: Eukaryota; Metazoa; Chordata; Mammalia; Rodentia; Muridae.
CAAGCCCCUUGCCCAGAAGAUCAUACGUGAAUCGCAGAUAUUGGACACUGGGUGAUUUACACUGUAGGUGUUUGGUUUUGCUUUGAUCAGAGUAUGACUGUGCCCGGGUACCAUGUCUUGAAAUGCUUCGUUCAGACAGCCUCGUCCAGGAAUCAGGUCAGAGCCGUACCAGAGCUUGGCUGCUUCUCUGGAAAUGCGGAGUGAACCACAGGAUUUUUAGCAGAGCCUGUUUCAGCCAGUGAUUGGAAAUGAUGAAGUGCUUUCAAGAUCAGCAUCUCAGAUCACUCGUUUAUGGUUGGCCUAGAAAUGAAUCAUUUAUUUUAGGUCUGGGCCUUAAGGGGAAAAAAAAAAAGCAAAAUCAAAGCUUGGAUGCUUUGUUUUCAUGGUUCUCCUUAUAUCAGGCAAGGAGAAGAGGGAGGGCACUGUGGGCUUUAGUGGGAACGGCAACACAGCACUAUUUCCCUUCCUUUGUUGGUAACAUUUUCCUAGCUGCAUCCACUUCCAUUUUAUGACUCAAUUUACUGUGUUUAAAAUUACACCACAUUCUUCCUGCUAUGCUUAGGUCAACUAUACGUACUGUGUAUACAGUGGGAAAUUCUUCCU